Molecule: ribosomal RNA, 519 nt
Filed under: uncultured bacterium
Lineage: Bacteria
Description: bacterial SSU rRNA
Rfam family: Bacterial small subunit ribosomal RNA
Source: RNAcentral
AGGGUUCGAUUCUGGCUCAGGAUGAACGCUAGCGGCAGGCUAACACAUGCAAGUCGAGGGGCAGCGGGAUGUAGCAAUACAUUGCCGGCGACCGGCGGAUGGGUGCGUAACGCGUAUGCAACCUACCUUAUACAGGGGAAUAACCUUUCGAAAGGGAGACUAACACCCCAUAGUAUUGAUUUAAGGCAUCUUAGAUUAAUUAAAUAUUUAUAGGUAUAAGAUGGGCAUGCGUAUGAUUAGCUAGUUGGUAGGGUAACGGCUUACCAAGGCGACGAUCAUUAGGGGUUCUGAGAGGAAGGUCCCCCCACACUGGUACUGAGACACGGACCAGACUCCUACGGGAGGCAGCAGUGAGGAAUAUUGGUCAAUGGGCGCAAGCCUGAACCAGCCAUGCCGCGUGCAGGAAGAACCGGCCUUAUGGGUUGUAAACUGCUUUUACAUAAGACUAACCGUAUAUUUGCGAAUAUACCUGAAUGUAUUAUGAGAAUAAGGAUCGGCUAACUCCGUGCCAGCAGCUGC